GUGGUGUCUGUAAUUACAUCCAUACAUUAUAUAUAUGUGUAAAUACGCCAAACCUCAGGGGAGGUCCUUGAAAAUUACCCGUCUUGAUAUACAUACAUAUAAAAUAAUUGGAAAGCAACCAAAUAUUCUUUUCCAUCAUUCUUAAAAUAAUUUUAUAAUAAGACAAAAAAAUUGGAGAGCCACUACAUUAAUUCAAUAUAUCUUAAUUAAUUAAAUUCUUCUUUAAAAAAUAUAUUUUAAUUAAAUUUCAUCUCACAUAAUGUAUAAAUAUUUUUUUUCCCACUGAGUCUCACUGCUCAUUUUCUACAUGUUUAAUAUGUUUAAGGCUUUAAGCAUUCUUCUCUUCAAUGAGAAUGCGAAUCCACCAUCAGAUUUGAUUUUUUUUUUUUUUUUUUAAUUCUACCUCUCUUCAGAAGAUGCAAAUCCACCAUUAGAUUUGAUGUACUCUUUGAGUACUUAUUGCUCCUUACCUUAUUCUUGCAUAAUGAUAUCUCUUGGAGUAUGUUCGAUGAAUAUAUAUCCUAAUUAAAUUUUAUCUCACGUAAUCUAUAUCAUUUUAUUUCAUUUCCACUACUCUUUUUUUUUUUUAAAUGAUGGGAAACAAAUUUUUUAUUUUUAGUUUUGAAAAACAUAUUUUAUGAAAUGAUAUCAAAUACAUUUUUAUUCUAAAUAUAUCAUUUUUUUUAAAACAUCAUUUUUAUUGUCACAUAUUGUUUUUGAAAACACCAUUUUAAAAAUAAUACUUGUAACUUUUUUUAUUACUUGAUAAAAGUCUGCAUCACAUGUCACAUAGGAUUUUUAGAAAAAAAUUAUCUUUUAUUCACACCUUAUGAUAGGUGAUUACAUUAUACUUUAAAGUUGGUAUGGAUUCAUGAAUUUAUUUCCUAAGCAAUACUAACAGAAUACUUUAUUUUGAAAAAAAAAAAAGAAAUAUCAUAUAAUACUAACAUUGUUGAUUAACCUAGCCACUCUAUUUCCUAGCAAUAUUUCUUCAAAAAAUACAACACAACGGUCAGCUGUUUUAAGGUCUUGGUCAAAACAUACAAAAGUUGAUCCAUUACAACGAUCAUUUCACAGCUUGUCAUUUUACAUGCCUCAAGCACAGGAUCAGACAUCAAGAACUCAAAAACAAAUAACCAUUUGGUGGAGAAUUGCAGCUUGCAGUGCAAUUUUGCAAACAUCAUAAACUAUUUAAACCCCCCAAAAGCACUUGGAUUUCUACUCUAAAGAUGCAUGCUUGUGACACAGCACUGAAACUUUGAAAAGAACACCUUCUGUCCUGAUUAGUUCAAAGAGGCAUAUAUCUCCCGCUUUCAAAUCCUUGUCCUUUGAAAAUGCAGGCCAUCCCUUUCUUAUACCACACCAGCCCGACCAUGCGAGGUUAACAGGCCACACUCUUCCAUCUGUAUCUUUAAUUUUGAUGGAUUCGUUAACUUUGUUCAAGUACUUGUUAGCGAAUUUGGGAGGUACGUACUGCAAGAGGAAGGGCAAAAAGAUUAGCAACCAAGCAUUAACCAAACUGAGGACGUCACAUGAUCAAAUUUUAUUAAGAGCUCACCACAUAAUUGAGUACUGUCGUUGACCCCAUGAUACACAAGAACGAAGGAUUUUCAAGCCGAAACAAUCUGGAAGCACAAAUUAUUCUUUGUCUUUCUUCCACGGAAAGAAACUUAUAUGCUCCACUAAUACAGAUCCCCAUUUCUUCAAGCACAGCCACAAAUUUGUAUUCAUCUGCAAUCAUUGAAUAGGUAAAGCAAAAAAAUAAAUAGAUUUUUAUAAACAUUAUUUUACAACACAAGUAAUAUACAUAUACAUAUACAUGAAGAAUCUACCCCACCUUCGUAUGCAACCUUCCUCGGUUUAAUCUUUUUACCAUCAUUCUGCUUUUCAUUUUCCGGUUCUGCACAAGUAUACUCAAUCUCACAGGCAGUCUUGUCAAAAAUGAGAACAUCAAAAGUUGAAUUCUUUGCAUAUUCAAAAACCAAAAAGUAAUCCUUUAAUAUUGAAUGGUUUUUAACAAAGUCAUGCCACCCAUCAUUAAACCAGAUCUUUCUCCCUUCUCUUGUCAACCCCACUUUCCAAACACAGCCAUUAGGAACUCUGAGUGUAGCAACAUCACAAAGUUCAUCUCCAAAUUUCUUCACAAAAUCUACUGGAAUCCUCUGCAUUUAUAGAUUCCAAAAGUGAAAAAUCAACUAGAAGAAAUGUUUCCAUGAUGACGUUGCAAUCAUAGAUUUUAGUCGCUAUAAAUCAAUAGUUAUGAAUAAAAAAGAUGUAUACCCAAGAAAACAGUUUUGGUAAAGUCUUUUGAUAAACAAGACCACUACCAAUGAUUCAUUUGACUUGAAAGCAGACCAAGAGUUGGUAACAUGCGUGUUAUACAAUACAACAGACAAAGCAAAACUGAUUUUUUAUCAAAGAAUUGAGAUUGAAUCUGGAUAAAAACAUGCAAAACCACAGAGAUUUCAUCAAAGUUUUUAUAAAAACUCAUCAUGUGAAAAUGACAACUAUGAAACAAUCAACUGCUGUAUGAACUCCAGUAUAUAUGUAUAUAGGAGAAUAUUUUUCAUUCUCAACAAUCAAGGGAGAAAUUUUUCAAAAAGUCUAAGAAUCAAAAUUCAGAUUGCAAAAACAGUUCACUAAUAAGUGGUUUGUAGCCCUCAGGUUGCUUAACCGAGUGGUUUUGAAGUAUUUUUAUUUAGUUGGCCACUUAAGUUUGAGUCCUCCAAGAAAUACGGGAUUAAAAAAUUUGAAUUGAGCUUUACACAUUCUCCUGCCUUUCCUUUGGAUCCCAAAAUGUCACAUGAGAUUUACAAACUGAACCCAUUUUGCUAAGAAAAGAACGCACCAAAAGCUAACAGCUUAUUUUUAUUUUCAGUUUGUUUGCUAAAAAUUAACUCUAGGCCAUCAAAAUAUUAACCAAAAACCAAAUAAACAUAACAUGAUAAAGAUAAUGAGGUAUGAUAUUAAAAAAAAUAUAUAAUAAAAUUUCAUGGAAAAUAAAUUGUUUACUGAUACUAAAGAUGAUUAAACAUGUAAAAUAGUUUAUCUAUUUACUAAUUUAUACAACACAGCAAACUUGCUACCCCUUCAUAAAAUCAAAUAAGCAUCGAAAUUAAAAAAGAAAGACUGAAAUAACAAAAGACUCCCCACAGUAAUAAAUUCCUAAAAUGACCUCUCCUACAUAUCACAUGCAUCAUAUUUCAUGGUUUGUUUGUUGGUAUAAACCAGCAAUAAUGUCAGCAUAUAAAGAAGAAGAGUUGUGUGAAUUACCAGCUUUUUGUCUUGAAGGGUUUCCUCAAUAAUUUUGAAGAAACGGAAGGGCUCUGCUGUUAUGCUUUCAGCCAUUUCUCUGUAAUAUCAUUUGGUUUUUGCCUGACUAACUUGAGACUUGCUUUGACAUCUUUAACCCAUUUUCUUUUGUGACGUUCGGUUUCUUUACUUUUUUUGUUUACUUCAAUCGAGGAAGCUAUCAAAGCAUAUCACCGAUACAAUUUUGAGUUCUUGCCAUGUAUUUAUUGCUUUUUGACAUAUAAAUUUAUUUUAGGCAGUUGAACUGGCCGACUAUUUAAGGUCUCGCGGCCAUAAAUUUUUCCACGCCAUCCCUUGAACCCUCUGUGCUUUAUUAAGAUAAAGAAAGAAAUCAAGUGCUUGUCGACAAAUUUGUUGGCAUGUUGGCAUUGUGAAAUCCUUUAUUUUCGUUUCGGUUAUUAGGAAUUUGUAGUGUUUGUAAUUGUGUAAUUAUAUUUUGUUACUAUGUACUUAAGAUUUGAGUCUCAAGUUUUUAUCCUAUAUAUUGUAUUUAAAUGUCUUAUAUCUCCGCCCUAUAACAAUGUAUUGUUGACCAAUUUACAGUUGAACAUAAAUUAUAGAGCCUUUGCAUGGCAAAAUUACGCAACUUCUAUAAUUUUAAUAUGACAGAUACCGUCUAGCGGUUCAGUGUGUGCCGGAUCAAGAAUAAUUUUUUUCUACCGCAAAGACUAGUGUAUUUCCCUUAUAUGCAAAUGCUUUGCGUAGUUGACUUUUCCCACAUUAGUUAGAAACUGGUAUCUGUCAUAUAUUAUAUCUCCUUAUUUCUGAUUCUUGCUCCGAAAAUGCAGCCUACCCUCCUUUUAUGCUAAACCCUUAGGACCAUGUAAGUUGGACAGGCCAUCUUUAUUUGGUACCUCUAACCAAGUAGCUGUGAGAAAAUUUGGCUGGCACACACUGGACAAGCAAAAAUAUUAGCAAGUAAAAUUUUUUCAAACGGUAACGUGUGAAAUUGUACGAUAACAAGCUACUAAGUACUAAGAACUCGCCAUAUAAACAUCCAUGAAUGAAGGAUUUUGAGGGUUGAACAAUCAGAAAACGUAGACUAAACUCUGCCGUUCUUCAACCGAAAGAUAUCUAUGUGCUUUACUAAUAAAGAUUCCCCUUUCUUUAAGCGACGCCAACAACUGCAAUUCAGUGAAUAAGUGGAUACAUAAGCAUACAAUGAAUAAGAGAGAGAUUUUGUGAAAAUUGUACAAUGUAAAGAAUACAUAAGCGUAAAGAGCUCACCAAAUUUAGCACUUUCACUCACUUCAUCACCAUCUGAAGAAUGUGUCCCAACUUCAUAUUCAGAAUUCUUGAGUUUACUCUCAUUCUUCCUCUCAUGCAUAGCGGCCUCAAUUCAGUACUGUCAAUCUUCUUGUUUUCAGGUCCAUAACCGAGCUUAACCUGAUUUUGCUUUACUGGAGGAGUAUUCAUUUUGAGUGUAAGAGCAUCAACAUUUUGCUCAUUAUUUGAUAAUUUAAAACAAUAUAAACCCUGCAACUAAACUAACAAAUACUUGAUUAACUAACAUUUUACGGAGCUUGAAACAAAAACAAAAAAAACCAUAUAAAUCUCCCAAGAUGCUGUUUAUUCUGUCUUUUAACCAAUAACCUGCAAAAGAAAGGAAUAAAUUAAGUAAAACAUACCAGUUUGUUCUCUUCAAGCGUGGAUGGAAGAAUGAUCAUGAAGAAAUGUGAGCAAGUCUGUCCCAAAGAAUUUGAUAUCAUAGAUUCUGCUCAACCACUGGAAUCCAGUUCCUCAAUUUUUUUUCAUAGCUCAGAAACUAUUUCUGCUUGAUCUUGUGAGCUGUGAUUUGCCUGCAACUUAAUAUACUGUCUUGACUCUUGUGUAAUCUAAGGGACCGGUGCUACUCAUAUAUCCAUGUUGUAGCUUUUAUAAUCAUAAUAAUACCAUUUAAAAGGAUCUUCGAAUGCUCCAUAUAUUAUUUGAUGAACCAAUGAAUGAGCAGGUUUUUUUGCUGGCAUUGACUCCAACUACUCUGCAUUGAAAUUUCGGGCCCAUCAGCUGCUGGUAGGAGCCAAAUCAAGACUACUUUCAUUUUUUGGACCAGCUUUAUACCACAAAAUAACCCUCAAAUGUUGAAAAGAAAAUGGCCAUGCAAGUUCAUUCUUACUCAUCCUGGGCUUCACCAUAAUAACAUAAUUAACUAAUAUGCAAUCUGCAUAGUUAACUCCAAAGAGAUUAAUAUAAUAUGGACAUAUGUUUCGAGGUCUUGGCCAAAAACACAAAAAUUUGGCCCAAUAACGUAAAAAUUGUGUAUGGUAUAUGUAAUAUAUUUUAUUUGAAAUAUUUAUUUUUUGCUUAAUAUUAACAUAUGCAUAGAGAGGUUAUUAUAAAAUUGAAAAUUGAAAGACCAUUAGCUAAGUUAAAAUAAAAUUAAAAGUAGUUCAUUUGUCACGGAUUGCACUUUUAAAAAAAUAAAAAAAUUUACACUUUGCAAAAAAAAGGGAAAAAACCACACCUUCAACAUUCUUUUUUAUUUUUCUUUAAUAAAAAUAACUAUUUCAAAAUUUCAUUUUAAACAUGAAGAGCCAUCUAUUUUUCAACGACUUUACAUCCAAUAUUUAAAAUUUUAAUUUACAAGUAUGCCGAAGAUGAUUGGUCAUUUGCCGUUUUGUAGUCAAAUGAUGUGACAUUCGGUCUAAUUACAACAAAACGACAUGAUAUCCAUGUCAACUUCACAAAUGAUAAAGCAUAAAUAGUAUAUGCCGAAGCGUAUUGUUUAUGAUUCAUCGUUUGAAUUAUAAGAAAAAUAACACGUCAUUUAGAUGAUAAGUGCGGACAUGAUGUGAUAGACAAUUAGUUUUCUUGAAAAUGACACGUCAUCCUACAAGUUAAAUUCUACACGAUUUCAAUGAAUGUAAGAGGCCGUUUAUUUUUUAACAACAAAUAAAAUAAUAAAAUAUUUGAGUUAUUCAUGUAUUUUUGCAUGUUUAAUGGUUUGCUUUCUAACAAUAAAUAAACUAAGAAAAUAUUUGAAUUAUUCGUAUAUUUUUUCAUGUUUGUUUUCUUGAAAAUAAGUUAUUUGCAUAUUUCGGUAAAAGUAAUGAAAAGACUUUAGUUUCGAAUUCAUAUGUAACUACGAAUAUAUAAUCACUUUGCCUCUCAUUGGGCUCAAUCUAAAUUUGGGCCAAUAGUGCAAAAAUUGUACAUGUUAUAUGUAAUAUGUUUUAUUUGAAAAUUUUAAAUUUUUUUCAUAAUAUUAAUAUAUGCAGAUGGAGAGAUUACGUAUAAAUUGAAACUUGAAAGAUCAUUAGCUAAAUCAAAAUAAAAUCAAAGAUAACUUGAAUUGCACUUAAAAAAAAGAAAUUACUUUGGAAAAAUUGAAAAGAAAAAAACCACACCAUGGAGAUUGCUUUUCUAUUUUUCUUUAAUGAAAAAUGAUUAUUUUAAAUUUUAACUUAAGACAUGACGAGUUAUCUAUUUUUUAAAGAUAUGACAUCCAAUAUUUUAAAUUUUAAUUUACAAGCAUGCUGAAAACUACUGAUCGUUUGUCAUUAUAUUCACAAACGAUGUGGGACAUUUUGAUGAAUUACUUAAAACGACAUGCCAUUCAUUUCGCUUUUACAAACGACAAUUCGAAAAGUCAAUGUGUCCGUGCAUACUCGUUACCAUGUGAUUUUUGUAUUCUAGAGAAAAUAACACAUCAUUUUCGGUAUUAGCAUAGAGACGACAUGCCAUACCAUUAGUUUGCUUGACAAUAAGACGUUAUCUAGCGAGUUGAAUUCCACAUGAUUUCAGCGAAUGCAAGAGAUUGUUUGUUUUUUAACAAUUAAAUAAAUUAAUAAAAUAUUUCAGCUAUUCACAUAUUUUUUUCAUAUUUGUUUUCUCCAAGACUUAAAAUAAGUUAUUUGUAUAAAGUAAGAGAAAGACUUUAUGUAUAUAUACAUAUUCCAAUAAGUUUGUAAGGGCCAAUAGAAGGUUUUAGAGUCAUAAGAUGAAAUUAUUGGGCUAGAGUUGACCUCAGCAACUAUGUAAGCCCUAUGCUUCUUUCCCACUAGUUGCCCUAAUAUAAGAAAAUGAUCUCUUGGCUACACAACGGCUCAUUGUAAAUUUGGUCCAGUAGUGUAAAAAUUAUACAUAUUAUGUAAUAUGUUUUAUUUGAAAUGUUUAUUUAUUUUUUCAUAAUAUUAAUAUAUGUUGAUAGAGAGACCAUGAAUAAAUAAAAAAUUGAAAGUCCAUUAGCUAAGCUAAAAUAAAAUAAAAGGAAGCUCAUUUAUCUUGAAUUGCACUAUCAAAAAAAUAAAAUUAUAAAAAUUUGUACUUUGCAAAAAAUUCAAAAGCAAAAAACCACACCGUCCAGAACUCCAGAUUGCUUUUCUAUUUUUUAAUAAAAAUGAUUUUUUUAAUUUUUUUUUAGACAUGACAAGUCGUCUAUUUUUUAAUGAGAUUACAUCUAAUAUUUUAAAUUUUAAUUUGCAAGCAUACUAAAGAUGAUUGGUUGUUUACAGUACUAUUAUCAAACGGUGUGACGUUCAGUCGAAAUACUUUGCAGGGACAAGACAUCCGCAACACUUUACCAACACCAAUGCGUAAAUAGUAUGUGCCGAGGCAUAUUAUAUACUUGUAGUUGUUCAUUUUAAAUUUAGCCCAAUAACGUAGAAUCAUAUAUGUUAUACAUAAACAUUUUAUUUGAAAUAUUUAUUUUUUUCAUAGUAUUAAUAUAUAUGGAUAGAGAGAUCAUUUAUAAACUUGAAAAUUGAAAGACCAUUAGCUAAACCAAAAUAAAAUCAAAGAAUUUUUGUUCAUCCUAAAAUGCACUUAAAAAAAGAAAAAGAAAAGAACUUGUACAUGGUAAGAAAUUGAAAAAAAAAACACCAUUAGCUUUGCUUUUCUAUUUUUUAUUUUUCUAAAAAACAACUAUUCUAAAAUUUCAUUUUUGACACAACAAGUUGUCUAUUUUUCAAUGCCAGUAUAUCCAAUUGACACGUCAUUUGUAAUUUUAUUACCAAACGACAUGUUUUUUCUGUAGCGUACAUGAAAAUGACAUACCACCACAACUAUUUUUAUAACCAAUAAAGCAAAAAUAGUAUGCAUCGACGCAUAAAAUUUAUGAUCACUCAUUUGAAUUUUGGGUGCAAGUAACAUAUCAUUUGCGUGAUCACCGCAAAGACGACACGACAUCCGCAUGUUUUACUACAUAAUAACACAUCGUUUAUUAUGUUGAAUCCCGCAUGAUUUUAAUAAAAACAAGAAAUCUUUUAUUUUUUUAACAAUUAAAUAGAAUAAUAAACUAUUUUAAUUAUUCAAUAUUUUUAUACGUUCGAUUUCUCCAAUACUGAAAGUAAGUUAUUUGUAAAUUUGUAUAAAACUAAGAUAAAAACUUUAAUUUGAAAAUUAUGCUUAAGCACAAAUAUAUACACAUAUAUAGAUAUAAUUGGGGCUUCAUGAUCUCUAAGAUUUACUCUGAUGAUGCAUGUAUUGAAACUUUCAGAAGAAUGUCCUUCGCCUUUAUCAGCUCGAAGACACACACAUGUCCUUGUUUUAGAUUCUUGUACUUCGAAAAUGCAGGCCAUCCCCCUUUUAUGCCGCAGCCGCUGGACCAUGUAAGUUGGGCAGGCCACUCUUUUCCAUCAGAAUCUUGCAAUUUGAUAGAUCUGGUACCUCUAAUCAAGUGCUUCUUGGAAAAUUUGGAUGGCACAUACUGCACAAGCAAAGAGAUGGGCAACUCAACAUUUAUCAACGGGUAAUGUGAGAAAUUCCAAGAUCACGCUUUUACUGAGAGCUCACCAUGUAGCUAUAUCUUUUCUUGGACCUUAGAAUAUCCACGAAUGAAGGAUUUUGAGGCUUGAAUAAUCUGACAGCAGUAACUAAACUCUGUCUUUCUUCAACUGAUAGAUACCUAUGGCCUUCACUCAUGAAGAUCCCCAUUUCUUCUAAGGAAGCCAACAGCUCAUGUUCAUCUGCAACUCAUUGACUAAUAAGAUAGAUUUUGCAAAAAUUGUACAAUAAAAAGAACACAUAAGCAUAAAGAGCUCACCAAAGACUUGAUCACCAUCUGAAGAAUCUGUCUCAACUUCAUGAUAUGCAGCCUUUUUGAGUUUACCAUGCUCGUUACCAUGCGUUGGACACCGCUUUUUCUCCCUGCUAUUUGUAGCUGUUUCCAAUUUGAUACCACCAAUCUUCUUUUUUUCAGGUUUGGAACCGGGCUUAACCUGAUUUUGCUGCACUGGAGGAGUAUUCAUUUUGGUGAAACUUAGAAUCUCAACUGAAUUUUCAGUUUCCAUUUCAUCUCCCUCUUCGCUUUCCGUUUCUUCAUAAUCAUAUGGAUAAUCAAUCUCGCAUGCAGUCAUAUCAAAAACAAGAACAUCAAAGGUUGAAUUUUUUGCGUACUUAAAAACCAAAAAGUAUCCAACAGCAAUGGAAUGAUAUUCGGCAAAAUUAUCCCAACCAUCUUGUAACCAAAUUUUCCUUCCAUCUUUCCUCAAUCCCACUUGCCAAACACGACCGUUUGGAACAUUGAGAGUAGCAACAGCAGAGAGUUCAUCCCCAAAUCUCUUCACAAACUUUCUCGGAAUCCUCUACAAACAUUGAAGUCACAGAUAUAGCAGAGAUCAAAGUUACAAAACAAGAAAAUACGUCUUAAUACCAAAACAAAAUGACUAUUUUGAUAAUUUGAUGUGAUCUUUUGAUAUGCAGCAUCAAACAUUUACACUGAAUAAAAAGAUAAACAUCUCUCAACGAAAACUAGAGUAGCUCAUCUUUAAUAUAAACAUGAUACAGUGAUACCCAGUAAAGAGAAAGAAACUUGUUCAGCAGAUUAAAAUUUGAAAGUAGCCUUUUACUAGAUCAUAGUAUGAAGCAGCAGAAUAUCUGCUGUACCGUNNNNNNNNNNNNNNNNNNNNNNNNNNNNNNNNNNNNNNNNNNNNNNNNNNNNNNNNNNNNNNNNNNNNNNNNNNNNNNNNNNNNNNNNNNNNNNNNNNNNNNNNNNNNNNNNNNNNNNNNNNNNNNNNNNNNNNNNNNNNNNNNNNNNNNNNNNNNNNNNNNNNNNNNNNNNNNNNNNNNNNNNNNNNNNNNNNNNNNNNNNNNNNNNNNNNNNNNNNNNNNNNNNNNNNNNNNNNNNNNNNNNNNNNNNNNNNNNNNNNCGAUAUAUAUAUAUAUAUAUAUAUAUAUAUAUAUAUAUAUAUAUAUAUAUAUAUAUAUAUAUAUAUAUAUAUAUAUAUAUAUAUAUAUAUAUAUAUAUAUAUAUAUAUAUAUAUAUAUAUAUAUAUAUAUAUAUAUAUAUAUAUAUAUAUAUAUAUAUAUAUAUAUAUAUAUAUAUAUAUAUAUAUAUAUAUAUAUAUAUAUAUAUAUAUAUAUAUAUAUAUAUAUAUAUAUAUAUAUAUAUAUAUAUAUAUAUAUAUAUAUAUAUAUAUAUAUAUAUAUAUAUAUAUAUAUAUAUAUCGGCAACAGUACUAUAAAUAUCAAACUGAACAAAUUAGCCAACAAAGAGGAGCACAAUAAGGAAUAAGAAGAAGAGUGAGUUACGAGCUUCUUCUCUUGUAGUGUUGACGGAAGAAUGACCUUGAAGAAAUGAGAGGUUUCAGCUCUCCUGUUACCUCCAGCCAUUUGUUUCACGUUGUUGUUGGCAACAAUGGUGUAGAGACCUUUUUGGAUAAGAAACUUUUGCUUGAUUGUUGAUGCACCCUUCAAUUUCCACCUGUUAUUGGGAUCUGUAAAGACUAGUGGCGUGUCAGGUACUUGCAACUGUUACAUGAAAUAAAUGGUCAUCAUAUAGUAUGUUUAAAAUGGAAAAGGGAUGAUAUCAUCAAUCUUAUACAUUUUGAAGCUCAAAACCAAGUGUCGUUUGGAGUCAAUUCUAGUCGAAGAAGAAAUUCAUCUGUGUAUUUAAAUUGAUAUUGUGGAGGUUCAAAUGUGAUUCCAAUAUCCAAUUUAACUCUGCAUGUAUGCAGUCAACUAAAUUUGUGAACGACUUUAUGGAUAUGGGAUCUGCUUCAUUCAUAUGAUUUAUUUUUACCAGGUUCAUUGAAUAUCUUUAUUAACCUUCUCAACAUUCGGAAAUUAUCCAAUUGCUGAUGCAUAUCUUCGGGCAUGGGGUACCAGAAAACACAGGACAAGUAAACUCAUGCCAUAUAUAACAAAUGUAUACACGACAUGAUUUUAAUGACACAGAUGCACUGAUAAAUUCUCCGCUCUGUAAGAGACUCAGUUUGCUUUCACAUUUUUAAACCAACAGUGCAGUCAACAUGUAAAUAGAAAUCCAACACCUAUUAAACUCAAGAAAAUGCAUCAGAAAAUAUGGCAGUCCAUAAGCAAACAGCAAUAUCUACAUUCAUCUCUAAUUUCUUAACUCUGUUUUGCAUAACCACCAAGUGUUUUAUUGUACUUUCUCUCUUCGCCAAAAGUCUUACAUUGGCAGUUAAUACACAGGUCUUGCAUCUUCAAGAACUCGAAAUAUGGUAGCUUUCAAUGUGACAUCAUUUGACUUAAUCAGCUCGAACACACAAACAUCGCUUUCGUCUAAGUUAUUCUCCCACACAAAUUCAGGCCAGCCCUUGCUGAAUUUAGCUCCACCAUUCUUAAAAAUACAUCGAACAGGCCACUGCUUCCCAUUAGAAUCUAUAAUUGUGAUGUAUCCCUUGAUGCCAUUUAGAUACUUUCGGGCAAAGCUGGUAGGAACAUGCUGCAAAAACAAAAAUAAAUAAAUAAACAAAUUGCCCAGUUCUAUAAUAAUGGAUUCAAGAAAUUUUAUUUGCAGCAUAGUUCAAAGGACUUACCAAAAGCAAUGUCCUAUAUACAUAGGAUGGUCGCAAGAUAACCCUGAAUAAAGGAUUAUUCGACUUGUACAUUUCAGCUGCAUGGACGGUUCUCUUCUUUUCUUCAGUCGUUACAGCUCUCCACCUCCUCGUAUAAGUUUUGAAAGAAACUCUAUAGGAAGGAAACUCUGCUUCCUGUUCAAUUUUGCCUAAUGGUUCAUAUACACAUUCAAAAUUAGUGAUGAGAUUAGCCAAUAGUAAUACACAAAAUUGCUUCUAAAUGCAUAAAGCAUACAAUAAUUGGUUAUUUGUCCUGGCCCCGAGAUUUUUCUUUUUGUGCCACAAUUGAAAUACAGUCCAACUUCAUCUGAUGUAUUUUUGAACUGUAUUCCUUUAUCUUGAGGACAAUGAAAUGCUGUUUCCUGAUUAUGUUCAUCCUUUGGUAUAUGCAGGUACUCUAUUUUAACUCCAGAUGUAGAGUCCUUAUUGCACUUGUAGCAUACACCUUCAUCUAAGACCUUGGUUGCUGGAGAAAAAGGAUCCGGGCAUGGAGCACGCAAAGGUGGCAAUAUUCUGAGAGAGCUAUUUUUUUCUUUAUCUUUCUCAAUGGGUACAUGGCAUUGCUUGCUAUCACUGGGUUCUUCCAAGCUUGGAUACUCUAUCUCAGAAAUUGCUAAAUCAAAUAUGUAGACAUUGAAAUUUGAAUUCCCUUGGUAUUUGAAGAUCAAAAAGUACCCAGAAUGAAUGGAGCAAUGCUCUAUGAAUUCAUGCCAACCAAUAUCAAACCACAACUGCUUGUUGCAUUUUUUUAGUUCCACAAACCACAUACGACCACUGGGAAUUGUGAAUUUCGCAAUUGAAGAAAGUUCAUCUCCAAAUUUCUGAACAAACUUGUCUGGGAUCCUCUGCGGGUGCAAAAAUUUAUCAGAUUCUGCAACAGUACCACCAAUGAAAUGUCUACAACAAAAUAUAUAUUGAGCAUUGCACAAAUGAUUCAUCAUGAACAUUAGUCAGCUUCAUUGAAGUAGCAGCAGCAUGAGAUUAACAAAGACGACAUAACUUCAUAAUUGAAAAGGCAAUUGAAAAUGAAAAGAUAACAUUUAAUGAAGAGCAGCAUGUAACCAAAAGUAAAAUAUAUCCUUAAAUGGCUAGCAUAACAAUGGAUAGUCAACAGAAAUAAAAGACUCCUCCCCCCCUCCCCACCAACAGAUGAUAAAUGCAAAAAUACUUGAUAUGAAAUUAAAAGAAGACAAAAAUUAACACUCAACGAAGAGCAUCAAGUGUGUAUAGCAUAUUAAGAGAACAAUGGCUUCUAAUGAUGACCACAGUAUUUAAAUGUUUGAUAAACACCGACUUUUACUUGAGAGCUAAUCUUUACCCUUGCUCUCCCACAAUUCCACUUAUACUUGAAAUUUAGUGGUUACUGCCCCCGUCUCACUAGUGCAGCUGUGACUUCAAAGCCACAGCACCUCAAUCCCAAAGAGACCCUAAGCAUAGCUCAGUCUCUGAAAAUGAAAAUAGCAGGAACCACCGUUCUUUCAAUUAACCAAGUCAUGGUCUUAAAAAACUUUUCUGGGACUAUGAUGAACAGGCACUACCGACAAUUCUGGUAAAAGCAAGCGCACAUUUUAAUCUUCUCAAUUUUCCCAGAUCAUUAAAGAUAACAAGAAAAGAAUCAUCAAGAAAUUUGAGACAAUCAAAUUUCCCACCAGCCAAACCAACAAACCGGACAAGCCGUUAACGCAUUUUAUAACUUCUUCCUCAAUUUUCACACCAAACAGACAGAAAGUCAAAGGGAAAGUAAAAUAGAAGAAAGUGAAAUAAAUUAACAGUUACCAGCUUCUUGUCUUGGAGAAUGGAGGGCACAAUUAGCUUGUAGAAAAUGCAAGACCUCUUCCCUUCCUCUUGCAAAUAUGGCGCCAGUGGCCGUGACAUUGCUUCAUCAACGGUUGUUUGCUGUUCAGACAUUUUUCAUCAUCAUCAUCAUCAAGAAUUGACUUUCCGAUGAUCACUAUACACUAUUUUUACCUUAGUGCUUGCUACCCAACAAGAAUGUUGGGAAAUGGGGAAGUACAACUGUACAACUGAAACGUGUAGUCAAAAACUCAAAAUCCCAUUAUUAUUAUUAUUUUUAAUUUCUUUUCAGCAUAAAAAAAUCUACUAAAAAAAUAAAAAUAAAACCAAUGAAAAUGAUCCUUUGACUAGAAGUACCUGGGACCUGUCUAUGGUACAGGUUCUGUAACAAACAUCUCCCGUCAUCCCACCAUCCGAUUUUCUAUUGUUUAGUUUCUCACUCCACAUCCAACCACAUCCAACGGCUGAUGCUGCAGUCUGUAGCUUACAGAUUCUGUAAGCUAGUCAAGUCCCACUGAAAAUAUCGUAAUGCUAAGAAGCAUAAAACAUGUUUCCCAAUUCUCUCAUUCCACGUGGAUUUUGAGUUCAGCUAGAGGUCCAUAUGUCGACUAAGGUGGCGUUUGUUUUUUUGUCUGAAAUCUGAAUAGACCUGAAUUAAUCUGAAUUUUGAAUAGAUCUGAAUGUCUGAAUCUGAAUAAUAUGUUUAUUUUUUUUGUCUGAAUCUCAGAAAAUAAGUAUUAAGUUGUUUUUUUUUUCAAUUUAAAAAGUUGAAAAUAUGUACUUUUACAUUUGUAUCCUUAUUAAAUUUUAAUGUCAAAUAAAUAAUAAAUUAAAUACCAUAAUAUUUUAACAUUUAUAAAUAAAAUUAUAUUCAAGUGAAUACAUAAUUAUUUUGAAAUUUUAAUAUAUAAAAUACCAUAAAUUUUAAAUUUUAUCGUAUAUAAUAUAAGAAAGAAAGAAUAGGGAUAUUUUUAUGUGUACAACAACACAAACACACACACAGUAAAACAUUAAUUGCAUGCACAUUUAAGUCUCUCAAAUUCCCCAGAUCAUUGGAGGUUGCAAUUUUUUUCUUUUCUGCUGUACCGUACAUCCGCCUUGGCCGUACAGCAGAUAUAUAUAUAUAUAAAUUGUUAUCCUCCCUCAUAUUUGUUGGAGUAUAUUUUUUUUAAUUUUCUUCUAAAUAUUUAAAAAGAUAUUCUAUACCUUUGCCAUUGAAAAAUAUCAUAAUCAAGCUCGUAUAAUUAGUAUUGAUGUAUUAGCAGUCAUUAUCACAUUAUUUUAUUGUUCAUUUCUAUAACGACAAUAAAUAAAUAUUGUAUCUUAAUUGAUUUAAGAGAAAUAAAAUUUUGCAUCUAUAGUCACUUUUCUUUUUUCGAUUCUAUAACGUUUUGAGAGAAAUAUAUGAUUUAAAAUAUUUUUUAGAAAAUAAAUAUUUGGAAUGCUUGUUCGAGAAACAUUUAUAUAAGAUUUUGUUUUUUUAAAAAAGAUAAAUUUUAUUUUCUUUUAGACGUUUUAUAAAUUAAAAAAUUCGAAUGUGAUAUGUAUAAUUGUCAUCACCAAAGUAGAGUUCAGAAAUAAAAUCAACAAACGAAUUGCCACGUAUGUUAGCUUUCGACUUUCAAGCAUUUUUCCAGUUAACGACGACCUGUCGUUCAUUCAGCUGGUGACUGACAUUGCACUUUCUAGCUUUCUGUAAUGUAGAAACAUAAAAAUCAAAAGUUGGCAGGUCAUUUCAGGUUCAGGCAAGAGCAUGUAUGUAGUCCGAUGGUCACUGGAAUUUGCCCCACACCAAGCUAAACAAUAUGAUUCAUGCGUGUAUCAAAAACUCCCAGAAAUAGACUUUGAAUUUAAAUGAAAAACUGGUUAACUGCAAAUGAAGAUCAGGCCUUCUUAACUAAGCAUAACAAAAAGUAACAUAGAAAAACAACAAUAUUUACAUUGGUUUCUAGUGUUUUGCAUCCCUUCAUCAAAACAUUUGAUCGUAAAGUUUUCAUUGUACCAAAUGACUUACUUUGAAGUAUGGCACUCCUCUGGUCUUGGAUCUUGAAGAACUCGAAAUAUGGUAACUUUCAGUGUAACAUCAUCUGUCUUAAUCAGCUCAAAUACACAAACAUCGCUUUCAUCCAAGUUAUUCUCCCACACAAAUUCAGACCAGCCCUGGCCGAACUUAGCUUUACCUUUCUGAGAAAUGCAUCGAACACGCCACUGUUUGCCAUUGGGACCUGUAAGUGUCACAUCUCCCUGAAUACCGUUCAGAUAUGUUCUUGCAAAGAUGCUUGGAAUAUGCUGCACAAGCAAAAAAGAAUUGCAUAAACAGGAUUGGAAUAUUCGUAUUUAAGGCGUGGUUCAUAGGCUUACCAGGAGUAAUGACUUGUAUACGUACGAUGGGCGCAAGACAACCUUGAAGCAAGGAUUAUCGGACUUGAAUAUUUCUGCUGCACGCAGUGCACUCUUCUUUUCUUCAGAUGUCAGAGCUCGCCCCCUCCUCAUAUAAGUUUUGCAAGAAGUUCUUCCUUUAGGCAACUCUACUGGUUCCAAUUUGUGCUUGCCUAAUGGUUCAUGAAUGCACAUUCAAAAUUAGUCAUAAUAAAAGCCAAUAGGAAACGAACAAUAAAUACAGCAUCUAAGUACAUAGACCCUACAAGAGUCAGUUAUUUGUCCUGGCCCCGAGAUUUUUCUUUUUGUUCCACCACUGAAAUACAAUCCAACUUCAUCUAAUUUGUUUGUAACAUUGCUUUUGAACUGUAUUAUUCCUUUAUCUUGAGGAGAUUGAAAUGUUGCUUCCUGAUUAUGCACCUCCUCUGCUAGAUGCAGGUACUCUGAUUUAACCCCAGAGGUAGAGUUCUUGUGCUUUUUGCAGUAUGCACCUUCUUCUUCGACAUUGAUUGUUGAAGAAAAAAGAACUGGGCACGGAGAGCUCAAAGGCUGGGAUAUUCCGAAAGAGUUAUCUUCUUCUUUAUCUUUGUCGAUGGGUACAGGGCAUUUCUUGUUACCACUGGGUUCUUCUUCCAAGCUACUACAAGUGUUGCAUGGAUACUCUAUCUCGGAAUUUGCUAAAUCAUAUAUGUAGACAUUGAAAUCUGAAUUUCCUUGAUAUCUGAAGAUCAUAAAGUACCCAGCACGAAUGGAGCAAUGUUCUAUGAACUCAUGCCAACCAAUAUCAAACCACAACUUCUUGUUGAGUUUUCUUAGUUCUACAAGCCACAAACGACCACUGGGAAUAGUGAGUUUCGCUACUGUAGAAAGUUCAUCUCCAAAUUUCUUAACAAACUUAUUUGGGAUCCUCUGCAGCGAAAAAAUUAACUCAGAUUUGUAAUAAUAAUGAGAGCUGUGACAGAAUAAUAUGAAGCAUUGCACAUAUAACUUUUUGUGUAAAUACAUAACUAAGUAUACGCUUUAUACAAAAGCUAGCAUCCAGCAACAUGAGAUUACCCACGAUCAUACAAGCAUCUUAAUUCAGAGACUAAACGGAAAAAAAAAAAAAGAAAAAAAAAACAACAACACAAACACACACACAGUAAAACAUUAAUUGCAUGCACAUUUAAGUCUCUCAAAUUCCCCAGAUCAUUGGAGGUUGCAAUUUUUUUCUUUUCCCUUUAAUUUUGAAGUAACAAGUAAAAUAGUACGAAGAAAAUUUAUAAUCAACAAAUAAUACAAGUUCAAUGCAAUGUUCAGAGUGAGAAUUGAGGCAGUAAAACUCUGGGGUGUUUCUCUUCUUUUUUUUUUUUAAUUUUCCCAACAACCAAACAAGCCGUUACCCUGUUUGCAACUUGUUUAUCAAAUUUCUGGGCAAACAAACAGAAUGUCAAAGGGAAAGUAACAAAGAAGAAAGUGAAAGUAAACAGGUACCAGCUUCUUGUCAUGGAGAAUGGAGGGCACAAUUAGCUUGUAGAAAAUGCAAGACCUCUUCUGAUUCUCCUCCUCUGGUAAAUAUGGCGCCAAUGGCUGCGACAUUGCUUCACCAUGAGUUGUUUGCUGCUCAGACAUUUUUCACCACCACCAUCAUCAUCAUCAUCAAGAACUCAUUUUUCCGAUCAUCACUAUGCACUUUUAUCCUUGGAUUAGUGCUACUGCUACCCCACUAGAACGUUGAGAAAUGGGAAGUGCAAUUGAAACGUGUCAUCAUAAUCUUUUUCACUUUUAUGGCAGUAAUUUUUCUCUCUUGCUAAUAUACUAAUAUGGGAUUUUUUUUUCCUAAUUUUUUUGAUGAUGUGGGAUUAGAUCUUAUCUUUAGUGACUAAAGUUUUUAACGUACUCUACAAAUCUUCUACACUUGCAUGGUAUAUGAGGUGUUACUCAUUAAUAGAUAUUGCAAAAUUAGUAAUAUACUCCAUAGCUUUGUUGUCAUUACUUAUCACUGAAAUAAACUUGCAACCGACUAGUCAAGUCGUUCAUAAACAAACCCAACAAACGUCUUGCUGUAUGUUCAUAUUACCUUCUGAGUUUUGACUCGCAUUUUUCUCGUUAACAUUUAUGGGACGACGUAUCGUUCUUUUCUGGUCACUAAAACGAACUUGCAAACAUUUUGUAAUGUUACAACAACACAAGGUCCUCUUCCGCAAUGCCAUUUACAAUCACAAAGUAGAAUAACAAAAGAUAGCACAAUAUUUUCCAGCAAGAGCAUGCUGUCUGAUGCUUGCUCAACCUUCCCUUGCGGAAAGUUUAUCAGUAAACAUUGUGAUUUGACAUGUACCAAAGAAUCAUGGAACUAGAUUUUUUAUAUAAACGAAAAACACUUGCAUAUUGUAUUCACUGACUUUGAUAUCAAACUAGUAGCAAAUAAUUUGCCUACGAGGUAAUUCUUUCUUUGAUCUGAAGCAUAACAUCACACCACAUGAAAUGAGCAGUGGCAAAAAAUAAAAGGUUCAAACAAGCUCAAAAUGACAUUGUCACAAUGUCACUAAGACCAUUUGUUCCACUGCAGCAGCUGAACGUCAACUUCAUUGAACAAUCUAUAUACAACCCUAUUCCAGCCACAAAUCUUUGUAUAGGAACCCUAAACUAUUAAAUGUUCCACAGAAGUUUCACAAGUUGUACAGAAAUUUAUAGACAUUAAACCAGAUUGGUAAAGACCACCUGCACAAGAAAGAUUACGUCACAGGGUAUUAUGCCAACUAGGAACAUAGCAUCCAUCGAUGGAAUGGGGUCAAUCCAGUGAUUUUUCUAAUGUCGACUCAUAAAUCCUGCACUUUCCGAGACACGAAAUACGGUAACUUUCAGAACAAACUCCCUUGCCCUUAGCACCUCAAAGACACAAACAUCUCCUUCCCCCAAUCUAUUCUCCACUGUAAAUUCAUACCAGCCUUGACUGAACUUAGCUCUGCCUCCUCUGUAUAGACAUCGGACAGGCCACUGCUUACCAUCAGAAAGCUGUAGUUUGAUGAAUCCACAAACCCCAUUUAGAUGUUUUUCGGCAAAGCAGGAUGGCAAAUACUGCAAAAGCAAAAAGUAGAUGCAUCUUACAUCAAGCAUAUUAUCGCGUGAGACAGAAAAACAGUGUAGAGUAAUUGAAAUUCUACAGCUCACCAUUAUACAUCCCUUAUACAAGUAAGAUGGUCGCAGGACUACCCUGCAGAAAGGAUUAGAUGGUUCAAAUGCUUUGGCAGCAUUAAUUGCCCUUUCCCUUUCCUCAGCUGUCACAGUCCUUUUUCUUGCUGAAGCACUUUCAUAAAAUCUAAACUGCAUUUCUCCAUCAUGUACUUCUUGUGCGGACGACGCUUGAACAUCUGCAUUUUUAUAGAACUGUUUGAUUAGAAAUUUGAAUUCUUGAGACAUGACAGGAUUAAACAAGAAUGCGAGCCCAAAAAUCUUACUAGGAUCAAUCUUUCGCUUUCUCCCAGGUUUUUUAAGCUUUGGUGUUUCUCCAUCUUGUGAAUACAAUUUCACUGCAUUUAACAAAUCCUUAGACUCAUAAAUAUUGAACUGAACAUCUAUAUCUAGAGUAUAAUAAUUUCCGACCAGAGAAUUUAUCAGACCUUUUAAUCGCUGCAAGUUUGCUUCACCAGCACCAUUUAUGCUGUUGCUAAGUUUAGAGCUGUUAAGCAAAUUCUGAAAUGACGGAGGAUUGAAAGUCUUGUUGACUGUUGGUUGAUCUACAUGUUCAGAGUCAUCAUCUUCCAUUUCUGCAAAUAUAUGGUAUUGUUUGCUAUGAUUGGGUACUUCAAAAUUACUGAGGGCAUUAGGUUGAUAGUUUAUCUCAGAAGAAGGCAAAUUAAAAAUAUAAACAUUAAAGGCUGAAUUCCCUUCAUAUCUGAAGACCAAAAAAUACCCAAUACGGAUAAAGUAACGUUCCAUAAAUUCCUGCCACCCAUCAUAAAACCAUACUUUGUUGUCAAGUCUCCUUAAUCCCACACGUGAAACCAUACCAUUCGGAACAAUAAGUGUAGCAGCUGCAGAAAGGUCAUCCUUGAAAUUCCUAACAAAGUUUUCUGGAAUCCUCUGCAGGCACCCAAAUCAGGUUAGAGUGCAGUCUUGAGGAGAAUAAAAUUAGGAUUGUAGAUGAAGCUGCUACUCUUUCUGAUAAAAAUGUUGAUAUGCCAUAUCAAUGAAUUAUUUUUCAUGACAUAUCUGCCCAUCCUAUUCCCAAAAGUUAUUCAUGAACUAUUUUCAGGACAUAAUUUGCCAUGCAGAACUUUGACCAGAUGGAAAGGAUAAACACAGCAAAGAGAUUCACUGCAGCAAAAUCUAUGCUUGCUCUUUCUAGUUUUACAAAGAAACCUACUUCAAGGGUAAGGAUAAGAUGAAUACCGCCACUAAUCCAGGAAAAGUUUACAUCUCGAGUAACUUGAAAUUAUUUUCAAUUUACCCAAUGGAAAGGGAAAAUAUUACAAAGCUUCUAAUAUUAUAAUUGAAUGGCACCCCAAGUGGCUAUUGUAGGAUGUUAAAGCCAAAUGUAAAAUCAAAGACAUAAUUGCUCUGCAACUAACACAGUACCCUCUCGUUGCUCAGAGCAGUGAGAAACAGAACCUCUCACCAUUAACCAUGUUUCGUAGCCAAGAGACCACAAAAACAAGAGAGAAGGGUCCAUCAAUUUAUCCAUAAAGAUUUAAAGUUGAUUUAUCUAUCAAUGGAUUCUCUAAGAUGAAGCACAGGUUUAUAAUCUACCUUCAACUAGUUUCAAGAAAUUUCAAGUAUGACCAGAGAUAUGUUGCUUCCAAGAAAAUUAUAGGAUCAGCAAAAUCUCCCCUUCCCCACCCCAAUUGAGCUUCCUCAUAUUAUUGUACAGGUAAGUGAAGUUUGAUCACCUUUAUUUCUAUAAAGUAAACACCUAAAAUAUCUAGUUUCAUUUCCUCCAUUCUUACAGUUUCUUUAAUAACUGAACAAAGUUCUGGGUUUUUUUUAGAAUCUCACAGGUAUCAAGGCUUUCACAACUCGGAUGCUAAGCUUAACUAGUUUAUUCUUAUAUAAGAAUCCUAAGAACACAACAUCCAAAGAAAAAUGCUUCAAAUUUCAUUUCCUCCAUUCUUACAGUUUCUUUAAUAACUGAACAAAGUUCUGGGUUUUUUUUAGAAUCUCACAGGUAUCUGGGUGCAUCAUUGAAUAAAGGCUUUCACAACUCGGAUGCUAAGCUUAACUAGUUUAUUCUUAUAUAAGAAUCCUAAGAACACAACAUCCAAAGAAAAAUGCUUCAAAUUUCUCCUCCUCCAUUCUUACAGUUUCUUUAAUAACUGAACAAAGUUCUGGGUUUUUUUUAGAAUCUCACAGGUAUCAAGGCUUUCACAACUCGGAUGCUAAGCUUAACUAGUUUAUUCUUAUAUAAGAAUCCUAAGAACACAACAUCCAAAGAAAAAUGCUUCAAAUUUCAUUUCCUCCAUUCUUACAGUUUCUUUAAUAACUCCCCCCCCCCCCCCCCAAAAAAAAAAAAAAAAAAUUGAAGGAUCCUUCGAAACUUCAUAAACAAACUAUUGCUCAAUACAAUACCUAGCAACCAGAUUUUAUUUAACUACAAUAUUUUUCACAUCCGGGUCUAAAGUUUCUAUUUUUAUCUCAAAAUCACACAAAACAAACAUAAUCAGAAAAUGAAAAGACAUAAUAAGCAAAAAUUCAACCACCCUUUACAAUUAACUUAUUAAUCUAACAAGAAUUAACCAAUAAAAGUCAAAAGUGAUGUUGAAUUUACCAGUCUCUUGUCACGAAUGGUGGAGGCGAGAAUAAGCUUGUGAAAAUAAGGUCGUGGCAUUUUGGGUAACAAUCAAAAGAAAAUAUAAUGAUGAUUUGACGAUUAUGAUUAUGAUUGUUAAGACAUGAGCUUUCAGAUCUGCUGUUUCUCUUGCUCUCUUUCUCUCCUCUUCACUGGUUCUAGUCAAACGGUUGUCUCUCAAAAUAUAACUUGACCUAAAAUGUUAAACCCAGUUCGAGUUACUCGUGACCCACUGAGCUAACCAGGAAUCACUCGGAUCCCCGCCCAUUUUUCGCCUUUUUCUUUUUUUUUGUUACUUUUCGGUCCCAUCCAUUGGGUGCUUUUUUUUUUAUUCAUAAAUGUCCUAAAACUUUUUCUUUUUCUUCUUUAUAUUUUUGUAAAAAUAAUGUUUAUCCUUGUGAUUAUUAUAUUUAAAAAUUUUAAUUGAAUUAAAAAAAGGUUUGGCCAUUCAAAAAUAAUAAUUAACCCAAAAAACAGAUCCAGAACUAAUAUUUUAUGAUUUUAUAUUAUUUUUUAAAUAUAUGAUUAAUUGAGUAAUCUGAGAAAAAAUGAGUGAAAAAAGUUCGGUUUGGUAUACCUUUUCAAAUAGAGCUUAUUUAAGUAGAGUUUUUGUUAAUAGAGUUUUUACAAAUAAAAUUUUUACUAAAAAAUUUUAUUUAUUUAGUUGUCAAUGAGAACUUUUGUUAAAAAUUGUAAAAUUAUUUUAAUAGGCAAGUUAUUUAAAGUCAUGUUAAGAAAUAAUGAAAUACGAUUAUAAAAUAAAUAAAAGAUAUUUUAAUAUUUUAAAAAAAUUUCAAUCUCUACACACAAAAGUUUUAAAUUUGAAUUUUUUUUCUAAUAGAGACAAAAUAAUUUAUCUAACAUUUAAAAAAUUUACUAAAGAAAUAACCAAAUAACAAUAAAAAAUUUAAAAAAAAUUUAUGUGAUUAAAUAAGUACUUAUGAUCAUUACAUAAAUAUACUAAAUAGACGUUAAAAUCAAUAGUUUUCUAAGACAAAACUAUGGUAUCACAGUUAUACCAUACCACAGCUGGAUCCAACUAUUGGAUCCAGCCCAUAGUGGUCGAUUUAAUGGUUGGAUCCAGUUGUGGUAUGGUAUUAUAAUUGGACCCAAUCUUCUAAUAUGAAAAAUCAUAUUAUGUUUAUACUAAUGUACAAUUAAAAAUUUAUCAUGAUGAUCACCUUUGAACAAAUAACAAUGAUGGGUGUAAUUUAAAAUUCAGCAGGAGAAUAGAAAAAAAUUUACUCUCCCAUGCCACUAAGAGGCUUGAGUCUGCUCCAAAUAAAAUUUUGAACAAAAUCUACCCCACAUGCCACUAAGGUAAUUCUUAUAGCUGUCAAAUUAUAAAAAUUCAAAAAUUGUAAUAAAAUAAACAUAUAAAUAAAGCUCAUUGCAGCUUAGUCAAAAAGGCAAAAGAGACACACAUGCGUGACCCAGCCAACAAUUCCAAAACGGGUAUUUUUCACUGCCUGCCCCCAAACUUUGUGCAAUCUAUCGUUUGAUUGAUUUUAUGUCCAAAUUUACACUUACCUCCCUUGGGCUGACCGAGCUUUUGAUUGACUGUUAACAUGGAUGACUAAAUGAAUAGAAAUACAUAUAUGCCCCUGAUUUGAAGCAAAGCAGACGUGCCAAGAAAUGAGAUAGCUAAUGUAUAAAGAAGUUAUUUAUAAUCAACAAAUAAUUUUAAAAGACUAACAAUAUAAAUUAUACCAAAACACAAAUAAAAUAAUGAUUUAGACUAAGAAUUUCACAUAAAUAAAAAAACUAACUUAAUAUUGAUGAUGCAAGUUAAAAAAAAAAACAUGUAAUUUAGAAAUACUUCAUACGCAUAAGUACAUCACUUUAUAUAAUAAAAAAAAAGUAAAUCAAGAAAAUAUAUUCGGAGGAUGAGAAAUGAAGAUAAUUUUAUUUUUAUUUGUUUUACAAAAUUUUAGGUUGUUGAUUUCUGCUUCUAAAGCUACUAAUGUAUUCCUGACUUCAGCAGUCAACCAAAAGCUUGGUUAAGGGAAUGGGAUGUUAGUGUUAAUUUGGACAAAAAUUCUAUCAAACUGUGGUUUGGACAAAAUUUAGGGGCAAAUAGUGAAAAAAACACACUUCUCAAUGUGAGGGAGAGUCUUUAUUCCACUCAUUAAAUGACAAAGAUUAUUGACACGUGUCACAUCAGGGUGCUUCUGGGUGUACCCUCAAUAAUCGUACAAAUAUUGAGAGAGUCAAUAAUUCAGUAUUCAGCUUUAUUGGUUGCCUUUAAUGGGCUUUCCUUUUCAUAAAAUAUUUCUUUUAUUUUCAGAAACAAUUUCAAUUUGGGCAAGUAGAAAGUUGUUGGGCCUCCAUAUUUGCUUAUGCCUAUCAGUGGAUUUGUUGAUAAGAUCGUCGAAAUCAGCUAAAUUUUAUUAGAAGUUGAAAACCAAAAUCAGCUGGAUUUUAUGAAAAGCUAUUAAAACGUUCAAUUUCUUGUGGGAAGUAUUCCAUUCAUAUAGAUGCUUAUUUUAUUGGUUUAUUAAAGGGAGGCUUCAAAUAAAGAGGAGAGAGGUUGAAUGUAAAAUUAAGAUACACACAAUUUGGUGUAAUGACAAAAAUUUUAAUAUUUUUAUUCAAUAAUUUUAUCAUCUGACUUUAGUUUUUAUUCAACUUCAAAUUCAAAGAGUACGAGAGGUUUAAAUUGAAGGGUACGUUUUAAAAUAUGCAAAUGCUCACACUUCAAAAAAUAUUUAUAUCAAAAAGUUUCGUUUUAAUUAUAUAUCUUGCUUCACGUCCCAUCUUUCAUUGUUAAAUCAUUUAUAUGAACGUACAUAGUUAAUAAUUAAUGAAGACAGAUAGGCACCACAUUAUUUAUUAAUCUCACAAAAAGCAGAGGAACCAUAAGAUCCAGAAAACAAUAUUUUAUUAAUGUGACACAUUGACGCCAACUAGCAGAUGACAUUAUUGCAAAUUCCAUUAUUCCAUCACAUAAUAUAUUCACAUAUGGGUAGAAUUCGAAGAUGAAACACACUCCAUAUAUAUGUGUGUGUGAAUUUAUAGUUAAAAUUAAUUACUUGUUGUUAAUAGAGAGUGCUCCAUCCAGCUUAUCGGCUAACUCUUGUACCCUGAAGUGAUAAAUUUGAACGUUCUCAACUUCAAGCUUCUUGAAAUUACUGCCUUUUCGAGUAGUUAAAAAUUUCCCCCAACUGUAUGCUCUGUAUUUAGCAGGAUUCUGCUCGUUUGUAAGCUCAUCCAAUGGCUUCACCAUUGUGUAAUGAGAUGGGAAGAAGAAAAAUGGAAUUGAAAACCUUUCCUUCUCAGAAUUCACCAUAACCCUAUGCUCCACACUCUCAUAAGCAUCAUUGCUCCAUACCUGCACAAUUACAUAGAUUUUAUUGAGGCCAAAAGUGUAUAUACUGAACACGAAAAUUCAAUUUUGACAAACAUAUUAAUAAUUAUUAACCGUUUGAUCAAAAAGCUUAAGCUAGCCAUUACCUGAAUAAUGUCACCAACAUUUAUGAUAUAAGCAUCCGGGGUGGGUUUGACGCGAACCCACUCCCCGUCUGAUUUUCUCUUCACCUCAAGACCUCCAACAUCAUCUUGAGCAAGGACGGUAAGGGCACCGGCGUCCUUGUGUCGGCCGACGCCGAGGGCGAGGUGGGGAGCUGGGCACGGUGGGUAGUGAUUAAGUCUAACAAAGGUGGUUUGAUCUUUGAAGAAGCCAUUGAAACUGUCUGGUGGGAGUCCCAGACUCAGGGCUAUAAGUUCCAUCAACUUGUAAGCAAGUUUUUCCACUUCUUUAGCAUACUCUUCACAUGCCUCUCUGUCAAGCAUAUGCCAAAAGUAAAUAAAUAAAUGAAUACUAUAAUUGCUACAUUAAAUUUUGCAUUAAUCAGAGCAUGCUUGGCUCCAAAAUAUUAUUACGAGCUUUCAAAUUGACCAACAACCAAUUAAAAUUAUUUGAGUGGUACUCAACACUACUCAACUGCUUAUGGUAGUUUAUUUUGCCGACAAAUACCUCUUAUGGACUAUAUAUUGUGACUAUCCUCCACCAUGAGAAAAUUCAGGUCACCAAUUUAGAUUUUCUUAACUUUGAAGCUUAUUAAAUUCGAUAGCACAAAGACACUAAUUAAAAUGCCCAUUAGGUGUUUUAAAAAAAGUACAAACUCUCUUUCGAUUGACUUGCAUAUUAAAGGAUCAGAAUUCUCUUUUAAAUUUAGAAUUCUCUCCAAGUCAUAGUACUCAAGUAUUAAAAUUAAUUUCACCAUCACAAUGUAAGAAAUGAACUUUACCUGAAUUCAGGAGGAUAAUCAGGCCACUGAUUGUACGUCUCAGCUAUUUCCUUGUCCUCAGGAUCAGGUGAAGUUGGCAUCAAACAAGGGCUCUCCACGACAAAAUCAAACACUUCUUUCCAAUCUCUAACAUUUUUGGUAUGCUCGGUGUCAUAAUACCCCACCACCUUCUUCUCAUCUCUCCUCACCUUCCUCUUCUCCUCCAACGGCUGCUCGAAAAACUUCCUCGCCAUAUUUUCUAUGCUCCGGCGCUUAUCCGUGGGCACGCCGUGGUUGAUCACCUGAAAAAACCCCCAGUUCUUGCAUGCAUUGCCUAUUUCCACAACCAGGUCACGAAUGGUACUGUCAGGGUUUUUAAUACUGGUGUUGGUGGCGCUCAAAGCUGAGAGAUCAAUUAAGGGUAUGCCUUCGGCUUCGGUUACGGAGAGUUUAGGCCUGUGCUCAAGGGCUUGAACGAAAGCUUCAUCAACUUCUCCCAUGGCUGGCCAGCUGCAGGUGAUUGAUUCACUACUGAUGAGGUAAAAGUGGUUCUUGAUAUUUAUUUAUGGGGGUGAAGAUAUGGAGAUAACAUAAGAUUGAAUCUAGACUGGAUUUGGGGCAGGUGAGGGAUUGGAGGAUAUAUGUGACGUUUGUGCUUGCAUUGCAUUGCCUGAAUAAUGUGUCCAAGAAAAAAAAAAACGUCAAAAUAUGUAUAAUAUAUGGAAUCUGGAAAACAUUAACAAUUCAAUUUGGAUACGAUACCAUUGACACGUCAGCUCGUUUGCAAUUUAUUUAUGGAAAAUGAUAAACGAGCUCAAAGAAGACAAAAGGACGACAGAAAUGCAGCGUUCAAUUGCCGUUUCACGCGUUGAGUUCUGUUUCUUUUAAUCUUGCGUGGACCCACAAGAAAAAUUAAAAUAAAGAAAAAAGGAAUGGAAAGUUGGUCAUUUCUCCCCCGCCCCAACCACUUAUUUUUCUUUGCUUAGUUUACUCCCCCUCCACUCAUUUUACUCCCCCUCCAUUUGCUUCGUUACCGGACUCUCCCUGGACGACAGCCGCUUCUUGUUCUCGCUGAGCCCCUUCUUUUUUUUUUUUUCUCGCCCAGCCCCAUUUGCUUCGUUACCGGACGACGUCCACUUCUUGUUACCGGAGAUGCAAAUGCAAAGAGGGAACUGAUUUUCCUUCCUAAAUGCAGAUAGCUCACGUUGAGUAAAUGAGAGGUGAGAGAUGGAGAGAGAGGGGACAACAAGAAAAAUUAAUUGUAAAAAAGUCAUCUCUUUCGUUACUUUUGUUUCUUUCUUUUGAUUAUUUUAUUUUUUAAAUCAAAAAAGUAACAGACAAAGAGAGAUGGUGACUGCAGAUGAAGUAACAGACAAAGGGACCCACCCACGUUUCUGUCGUCCCUUUGUCGUCGCAGAAUUCCAAUAGCAGAACUCUUUAUUUAUUUAUUUGCAUUCUUUUUUGUUGCUUGCCCCUCUCUCUCUCUUUCUCUAAUCUAAAAUUUGAAUGCGUCUAAAAUUCUAGGAUCCAAAUAUAUAAAGUUAACUUCUGAAUAUAGUAGAGUUCAUGAAACGCUAAUUUUUACAUUAAAAUAUAGAAUAUUGUCAUUUUACCACCCACUAUUAUAUAUUUAUAUUAUAAUUUAAUUACUUAAUGUCUUCUAACAUAUCACUUUAUCAUCAAAGUUUUUUUAUAAUUAAUUUUUUAUUUUAUGUUUCAAUUUUAUCAUUUUACUACAAAACCGCUAAAAUUAAUAAAAUUUUUGACAAAAUUUAUAAUAAAAGUUUAUUUUAUCCACAAACUAUGUAAAUGUAAUUCAACUCUCUAAAUUAAAAAAAAAUUAAUUAUAUACAAAGAAAUUAUACUUUUAUCAAUUGAUUAUUUUAUACAUUUAAAAUAAUUAGUUGAUAAAGUUAUAAAUACUGAACUUUGUAAAAUUCUUAAAAUAUUGAAUAUAAUGAAAUUCCUAAUAUAUUCUUGUGACACUAGUAAUUUAUUAAUGAAUUUAACAAUUUAGUGGAAAAAUGAUAAAAAUUGAAACAUCAAGUGAGAUGAGUAAUUGUCAAAAACCAAUUAAGUAGUAAGAUGAUAAUAUUCCUAAAAAAAUUAGUUUUAUUCCGUAUAAUGUACAUACACAUGCGUACAUACAUAUAUACAUACAUAUAUACAUACAUACUAUUUGUUGAUGGAGACUGUUAAUUCCUUUAGCUGUUUUGCGAUGGAUUUGAAGGUCUCAACAUUAAAGCUUCUUGAAAUUUCUGAGCUUUCUCAUAUGUAGUGACAAAUUUUGGCCAGCCUACUAGGAUUUUUCCUCAUUUAUUUUAGAGAUUAAAGCUAUUAAAACAAACAAUUUAUUGUGGGAAUUCUUUUAUACAGAUGCUUAAUUAUUUUAUUGGUUUAUUAAAGGGACCUCAAACAGAGAGGAGAUAUUAAAUGUGAAAUUAUGAUGCAUAUUUGACGAAAUGACAAGUGUUUUAAUUUUUAUUCAAUUAUUUUGUCAUCUCACUUUAAUUUUUGUUCAGCUAAAUCAAAGAGUUGAGGGUGUGCCUUUUAAAAGGUGCCCAGAUUCACUUUCAAAAAGUUCCACUACUAUUUUUUCAUAUAUGUUCUUGAAUCUAUUUCUAUAAAAAUAGCAGAAACACUAUUUAAAGCUAAUUUACUCUUAUAAAGUGACCUUUAGACUUCAAUAUUAAAAGAGUAAUCCGUCAUUUUAAUUGAAUAUGAGACUAAUUUUAUUAAUUAUAUAUAUUUUGUUUAGAAUAAUAUUUUUUGAUGUUGCAUUACUUAAUAUACGUAUUUUUUUUUUUAUAUGCACUCACUUUCAUAAAAAUGUAUGCAAUAAAUUUAUAAUUUAACCCCAUGCUAUCAAAGAUCCUGAGUCCAUAAAGUUCCUCUGUUACAUCAAAAUGAUGUAAAUUACUUGCUUCACGUUCAUCUUAAUUUCAUCAUUGAAUCCUUUAUCUGAACAUAUGUAAUUAAUAAGUUAUAAAGACAAGUAUUCACCACAGCGUAUUAGCAAGAAUCAUUGAAUUGGUUUCCCAGAAGCAGAGGAGUCAUCCAAUUCAAAAAUCAAUAUUCAUCCACCAGAACAUUAAUAAUGCAUCCCAAAAAAAAAAGGUCACAAUAUGCAUCAUGUAUGGAGUCUGGAAAACAUUAAUAAUUCAAUUUGGACACGAUACCAUUUACACGUCAGCUUGUUUUUAAUUAAUUUAUUUAUUUACAUUCUUUUUUAUUGCAUGUCCUUUUUUUUCCUCUAGUCUAAAGUUCGAAAGCAUCUAAAUUCUAAACGGAUCCAAAUAUAUAAAAAUUUAACUUGUGAAUAUAGUAGAGUUCAAAUGAAACUCUAAUUUUUAUUUUUUUAAAUAGAAAUAUGGGAUAUUAUCUUUUUACCACCUAUUAUUAUGUUAUCAUUUUAUCCGCUAAUGUUUUUUGUUAUAUCACUUUACCAUCAAAGUUUUCUAAUAUUUAAUUUUUCCCACUUAAUGUUUCAAUUUUAUCAUUUUACUACUAAACCGUUAAAGCUAAUAAAUUUUUUUAUUACAAAAGUUUAUUUUAUCCCUAAACUGUAUAAGUGUAAUUUAACCUUCUAAAUUAAAAAAAUACAAAAUUAAUUAUAUACAAAGAAAUUUUACUUUAAUCAAAUGAUUAUUUUAUACAUUCAAGAUAAUUAAUUGAUAAAAUUAUAAAUGUAUAAUAUAACUUGUAAAAUUCUUAAAGUAUUGAAUAUCUUGAAAUUCCUAAAAUAUUCUUGUACCGUCAGAAAUAUAUUAAUGGAAUGUGAAAAUAUUGAGCCAAAGUCUCUUUUAGCAGUUUAUCUACAAUGCAAAAAGAAGUUGUUGCUUGUGAGAUGAGUGAUUUGGCUUGUUUCCUAGUGUUUUUGGAAGAAAUGAUGCUUUGAUGCUUAGACAAAACAAAAGCUUCUUUUAGCUCGCAUGGAAAUUCUUAUACAAAUGAUCGGCAUUGUAUUAAAUGAUUUAUUCCAUAAAUAUUAUAAUCCUAAAAAGUACAAUGGCCUAAUUAUAUUCUAAGAGUUGCAUAUUAAAAUGAGCAUAAGGAGGGAUCGAGUUUGUGUGAUAUGGCACUAUUCACAUUAGCUUUUUUGUUUUGAGUUUCUUUAAUUAAAAUAAUAAAAAUGAAUAAAAAUACAUAAUACUAAAUAAAAUUAAAAACUUAAAUAUGUCGCGGCUAGUGCUAAUGAACUGUCAGCGACAGUUCAACGGCUACCGACUACCUGUGGCCACCACAUAACAUCGUGUUUUACACAAAAAUUUGGUAAUAUUAGAAUUUUUAUUGUCGAGACCCACUAUGGUGCAAUUAUUAUUAGUAGAAAAGCUUCCAUUCGACGUAAAUUUACAAUAUAAUAAAAAAAAACCGAGACUUUGAAUAUAGAUCUAUGGCAAAUGAAAAUUUCCUUUUAAGUAAUAAUUGCACCAUUGCGAGUCCCAAUAAUAAGAAUUUUAAUGAUACCAAAAUAUAGUUCAAAUAACACUAAAGUAUGGCCCAUAGCAGCCGGCCACAGUUUAUGGUGACUGGCAGUGAAAAUUGUUUAUUUUAAUUAUAUAAAUUUAAAUUAUUAUUCAAUAUAAAUAGUAAUAAAAUAAAAAUGAAUCGUAAAAUUUUAAUUGAACAACAAUAUUAAAUUAAAAUAAAAUUUAUUAUUUUAAGUAAUAUAAUCCGUACUACACUAAGUAUAAUAUUACAUUACAGAUUAAUAUAAUACAAUGUAAUACAAUGCAAAACACACCCCUUACAUUAAAAACAUGUGUAUUAGAAAAAUAAAAUUAAAAAUUAAGAUUAAUAAUUGGGCCUUGAACUGCGAUCCAAUUUUUUAAUACAAGCACGGGCCUGCAAAAUUAGAACCCUAGCUGGCCCUUCGACCAUCUGGUUGAGCCCAAUGUUUUUUUUUUUUUUUUUUUUUAACUCCUUAAUUAAGACCUAGGUAAUUCAGUACAUAACCACUCGGGCAGCAGCCCGAGUGGCCAGGGCUGCUGCCCUCCAACUUAGAGGGCAGCAGUUCGAACCCCCACAAAAGUAUUGUGGGGGUAUUUUCUUCCUCAAUUAAUUUGAGUGAAGGUAGUCUUCUCCCUUACCCAUGAGUGAGGAGUAGACAUCCCUCGAAUAUUUGUGAGGGUUAAAAUCUGGGCAGAGCUCCAGCAUUGAUGUCAGUUGGUCCCAGUAAUAGUCUGAUUUGUAAAUAUCAGUAAUAAUCUCAUGUAUAUGAGUUGUAAUCUGAGCAAUAGUCUCAUGUAAUAAAAAGAAAAAAGGUAAUUCAGUACAUGAAAAAAUUGACAUUAAGUAAAAAUUUAAUUGAUGCGUGACCCGUUGUUUUUUUUGAUAUUAAUCACGAGGUAUCCUGGGGAGGGCCCCAACUGUGGGAGGCACCUUUAAGCCCGUACCACAACCCAGACUAGAAGUCCCCGCUCGAACCGGGAGGCACAGGUUCUCCCAACAAAGGCGACUUCCCUGCGACUCGAACUGGGGAGCAAACACAGUCAAGCCACUUAAGGGGACUCCAUUGCCAGUGGAGCCAACACUUUGUUGGUGCGUGACCCGUUGUUUACUAGUUCAGCAAGUGGUUGAUUUGUCGUAAAUAUCUAUAAAAAUUAUAGGAUGUGUCGUUUUUAUUACCGGAACAUGGAUGAAGACAUAUGAGCACCAGAUAUAUUGUAUUAGCAAGAAUCAUGGGAUUGAUUUCCCAAAACUAGAGGAACUAUCCAACCCAAAAAAACAAUAUUAAUUCAACAACUAGCAGAUGGCAUUAUUGCAAAUUCCAUUAUUUCCAUCGCAUAAUAUAUUCACAGAUAGGUUGAUCAAUUCAAAGAUGAAACACACUACAUAAGUACAUAUGUAAUUUCGCUAACUAAAAAGCAAAUUAAAAUUAAUUACUUCUUGUUAAUAGAGAGUGCUCCAUCCAACUCGUUAGCUAACUCUUGUACCUUGAAAUGAGAAAUUUGAAUGUUCUCAACAUCAAGCUUUUUGAAAUUACUUUGCCUUCUAGUGGCUAAAAAUUUUCCCAAAUUGUAUGCUCUGUAUUUAGCAGGAUUUUGCUCAUUCGUAAGCUCGCCUAAUGGUUUCACCAUUGUGCAAUGUGGUGGGCUGAAGAAAAAUGGAAUUGAAAAUCUUUCCUUCUCAGAAUUCACCGUAACCCUAUGCUCUACACUCUCAUAAACAUCAUUGCUCCAUACCUGCACAAUUACGUAGAUUCUAUUGGCAUUAAAAAAAAAACGAGUAUCGAAUACGAAAUUUUGAUUUUUGACACCAUAUUACUAAUUAUUAACCGUUUGAACAAAAAACUUAAGCUAGCUAUUACGAAUUACCUGAAGAAUGUCACCAACAUUUAUGAUAUAAGCAUCCGAGGUGGGUUUGAUGCGAACCCACUCUCCAUCUGAUUUUCUCUUCACCUCAAGACCGCCAACAUCAUCUUGAGCAAGGAUGGUAAGGGCACCGACGUCCUUGUGUCGACCCACACCUAGAGCUAGGUGAGGAGCUGGGCAUGGCGGAUAGUGAUUAAGUCUAACAGAUCUGGUUGGAUCUUCGAAGAAGCUACUGAACCUGCUUGCUGGGAGUCCCAGGCUUAGGGCUAUAAGUUCCAUCAACUUGUAAGCAAGUUUUUCCACUUCUCUAGCAUAUUCUUCACAUGACUCUCUGUCAAGCAUACCAAAGAUAAAUUCAUAACUAAAGUCCUAUCAUUGAAUCUUUUCUUGCAAAAUUAAACUUUUGCAUUAAUCAAAGUAUAUACGGUGGCUCCAAAAGAUUACAAGUUCUCAUACUGACCAACAACCAAUUAUAACCAUUUGAGUGGUAUUUAACACGUACGAAUCAGCUUCUUAUGGUUGUUUACCUUGUCAAUGAGUACCUCUUAUGGACUAUAUUGUGAGUUCUCUCCAACCAUGUGAAAAUUCACGUCACCAAUUUAGAUUUGCUAAUUACUCUCAAGCUUAUUAAAUUCGAUAACACAAAGAUAGUAAUCAAAAUGUCAAUUAGAUGGCUAAAAAAGGAAAAACUCUUUUAGAUGCUUGUACUAAAGGAUUAGAAUAUUUAUCUCUUGAUUUGAGAUCUCUUGAACCUUUAAGAACUUGUACUAAAAAGAAAAAAUAUAAAUGAAAAACAUAUUGUUCCGAAAAAUAAUGAUAAAGAAACAAAUGAAAACGAUAUAAUUAUUUAUUCAAAUGAAAUAGGUCCACUAUAUUGCAAUGAUCAAAUUAUCGUUAAGUACUCAAACUUCACCAUCACAAUAUAAGAGUUAACUUUACCUUAAUUCAGGAGGAUAAUCAGGCCAUUGAUUGAACGUCUCAGGAACUUCCUUGUCCUCAGGCUCAUGUGAAGCUGCCAUCAAAAUACGCUUAUCUGCAACAAAAUCAAAUACUUCUUUCCAGUCUCUAACAUUUUUGGUAUGCUCGUUGUCAUAGUACCCCACCGCCUUCUUCUCAUCUUUCCUCACCUUCCUUUUCUCCUCCAAUGGCUGCGCGAAGAAUUUUCUCAUAGCAUCUUCUACUUUCUGCCUCUUUUCUAAUGGCGCUCCAUGGUUGAUCACUUGGAAAAAACCCCAUUUCUUGCAUGCAUUACCUAUCUCCACCACAAGGUCAUCAAUGUUUUUGGUGUUGGCGUCAUUAGGAAAGCUCAAAGGUGAGAGAUCGAUCAAGGGUAUGCCUUCAUCUUCAGUGACUGAGAGUUUAGGCCUGUGUUCUAUGGCUUGAACGAAAGCUUCAUCAGCUUCUCCCAUGGCUAUAGCUAAGAAACAAUGUAUUAAAUUCUAAUGUAUAGUUUGAUAUAAAAGAGAGUAAUUGAGGCAGUUUAUUUAUAGUGGGCUAAAGGCUCUUUCAGCCUAGAGGACUUUUGAGCUAAUUAUGUAGUAAGUCUCUAUAUCUUUGAUAAUUACCCAGCAGUUAAUAAAAUUUACAUAAUUUUUUUUUAAUUUUUUAAUCUAUUGCAUGUUAGACUUAUUUUAAUUUUAAAUUAUAUUAAAAAAUAAUAUAAUUUUAUCUUUGAAAAAUUAGUAGCAACCAUUGUAGAAUUACCCAUAAAGCCGCAUUGUGUAAUUUUAAAAAAUACAGAUACUAAAAGUAUAAUUGACCCAAACCCUAAGUGGUAAAGGAAAAUUUACUGUAACCAUGCAAGAUAGGGAGUUAACAACAUAACAUUGAAUCUGGAUGGGAUUUUCGGGCAGGGAAGAGUUGGAAAAUUGUGUGACGUUUGUGCUUGCGUGGUUAAUUUUGUCUGAAGCGUCACAAAAUGGAUCAUAUAAUAAUAGCAGCGAAAGAAUCAAUGAUUCACUUAGUGGACAAGAGACAUACAUAGCCAAAGCACCAAGCAGGGUUUAAGGGACGAUUAUUUCACCGUGAUUAAUUAAUAAUUAAGUAAUUUUCACACCUAGUGAUAGAUUCGGUGUGUUUGAGGACUUUUCGUUGGUAAUCAGUUGAAAUUUAGUGCAGCAAAUAUUCUUGACAGCUGUACGUACUAAUAAUGGUUGAGCACACACUAUGAAAAUAUUGAGUGCUCGCGAAUGCCACUUCAUGUUUUACCUUUUUAAUUAAAGUUCCUGACUAGAGUUCCAUGCUUCUUUAAUUUGCUUAACACAUAGUAUAAUAGUUUCUUGAUCAACCAUCUAAGUGAUUUUGUCUAAGGGUGAAAUGCUUUAAAAUGAAGUGAGGAGGUGCUCAACACUCAGUCAACGAGUGAUUUGUUAGUUUGGUAUUAACUAUUAAGUUGGAAGAUAGAAAAGAAGAGAAAAUAAAUAUUUGUCUAUUGACGUAUGACAUGUCAUUUACAACUUCAUCACAUAGUAAACCUAUGGUAAAUAUUAAUAAGUAGCAUGAUAUGUCGUUUUUGUUUUCAGAACAUGGAUGACAUUGUGUAUGUAUUUUACUUUGAAUUAAAAAAUGUAUGACAUCUAGUUUAUAAAUUAAUCAAAUAUAUGACUUUUUGUUUAUAUUUUGAGCACAUAAAUGACAUUACAUACAUAUUUCACCCCUGAGUAUAAGCGUACGACAUGUCAUUUAUAAUUUAAUUAAAUUAUUAUAAGGCAUUGCGGUGGCUAAUUAAAUAAGUUAUUUUUCUGCUGUGCGGAUAAAAUAAGUUGUUGAGUAAAAAAAAAGUUUAUUGUUUAGUAAACUGUGUUGUUAGAAUUGUUGUAAGCUUAAAAAGUAGUGUAUAUGUGUUUGGUAAUAUUGUUUUAUUAUAUAAUAACUAAAAAUAUAUAAAUUUAAAUUACCUUUUAUUUUUUAGAGUAUGUUUAGUGAUAUUUAGACAUACAUUUUUCUUUUAAAACACGUAAAAUUAUAUAAAGUGAAAAAAUCAAUUAAAUAAAAAUAUAAUGAACUUUAUAAAAUGAUAAAAAAUUUAUACUAGUACAUAAUUCAAAUAAAAUGAAGUAAUAUGCAUUACAUUCACAUUAAACUUUUUACAAUAAACACCUUGGUUAUCGAAAAAAUAUAAAUAUAUUGAACGUUAAAAGUCAUGGUUAUGAAAUUGCAAUUUCAAAAGUUAUCUUUAGCCUUUAUGUGAAAUUGUUCAUAGUUCAAAGAAAAUUUACAUAAUCAUAUGCAAAUCUUAUUGAUUCUUAUAAUAGAAAAAUAAAAGUAUAAUAAAAAAUAUGAAUUUAUAGGAUAAAACUUUGAUACUGAAGAGAACGUAUAGUAGCGGUAAUUUGAUUAUGACAAUAAUAUGAUAUCUAAUAGUUUAUAUAUUAGAGUGCAUAGAAAAAUAAGACAUAAUUAUCUUUUUGUUAAAAUAUUAAAAUUAUAAUAAGAAUUUUAAAAAUGUAUCAUAACUUAUUUAAUGAGCUACUUACCAAAAAAAGGAAAAAAAAAAAAAACUCAGGAACAAAACUCUACCUACUUUUAAAAGUUAUUAUCAAAAUGGAGAAAAUUAUAAAAUAAACAACUUUUAUGAAAUUUAUCAAAUAUAUUUUUUUUGUUAAAAAUUUUGAAAUAAGUAACUUAUUGAAUUUUAACCUCAAUCCCAAAUGAUGCCUAAAUGAAAACUCACUUAAUAUAAAAAAGGAAAAAAUCAAUUUUAAUUAUAAAAUAAAUUGUUUCUAAUGACCACAAUGACGACAACAACAACAAUAAUAACAACAACAACAAUAUCUUUAUGAUAUUUUGAUUUAUUUUUUAUAUUAUUCAUAUCCAAUAAUAACAAUGUCAUAAUUUAAUAAUUUAUUGAUUAAUUAAUAUUAAAUAAAUUAAUAGAUUUUCCACGAAUAAUGUAAUAGUACACAUUUGGUAAUAAAAGGAAUUGGCUACACAGCAUCAGUUUCUCAAGUACCUUUUAAUUUUCUCCAAGACUAUUGAAACUUGGCACGAUUUUGUACCUCAAGAAAUGACUAUUGAGAUAUGAUAAAAGCGAUCGAGAAAUCACUAAUACCCAGAAGUUUAAGCUACUUAGGCAAGAUAGAAAUGACUGCAGUCAUGCAGAUAUAGAAAAGCAAAUGCAGACAUUAAGUAACCGCCAUAUCUGAAAGCUAAGCUUGUUGGGAAGAGCCUAUCAGUUACAAUAUAGAAGUUCUACCAUAUGCCUUGUUCUUAAUCUACAGGCAUGAUGUAAAUGACUGCUAAAACAAAGCAUAGUUCUAACAGUAAUAUUGAAGUUCUAGCAUGUGCCUCAUACAUCAAGGAACUGGAUCGCCAGAAUUCAGCCCGUUUACUAGCUCGUUGAAGGGCUUCAGCAAGGCAUGGUGAGCAGGGGAUGAAGAAAAGUGGAAGCGAGAACCUCCACCACUCUUUAUGCUCUGCACUCUGACAUUUAUCAUUGCUCCAAACUUGCAAAAACACACCCCAUUCACAAGUUUAUUUUAACAUAUUAAAUAUUUAUUUUUACAGAAAACUAGAAAACGGGAUUUAUUGUUUUCAUUUUCAGAUAUUGGUUUCAAAACAAGCUGUAUAUUAAAUUCUUUCUCAAUUCUAAAAAAAUCACAUCAACAAACAAUAUUUUCACUCUUUAAAAGAAAUUUUAAAACCACCAUUGAAGACAAUGCCAAAAAUGCCUUUUUUUAGAGUUUUUAGAUGUUGGUUGAAAUUGACACAAGUGCUUAUCAAAGUUAUAACACACUAGAGGAAAGCCCUCAAACACUGUUUAAUGAAUAAGGAAGAGACUUGUAUGUUUCUUGUGUUAACUGGAUACUGUGUUAUGCUGGGUUUGCACAUCCUUUGUGUUGGACCAAAACCAGCAAGAAACCGAUUUUGAUCCCCUAAGAUCCACUCAAUCAAAUCUUUAACUUAAGAAUGUUUGAUAACCAAAAUGAACUUGAAGAUAAAACUGAUACGAUAAUCUGGAAACACAGAAAUCGAACCAACAAGAUGCUGAAACAAUCACACACACAAACACAAGAGGAUUAUAGUGGUUCAACCACAAUGUGGCCUACAUCUACUGUUAAAAGGAGAACAAGCUUUCACUGAUUUGGCUUAUCAAGAUACAAGUUUUUUUAGAGAAACUGUCACACUCUCGAUCUAGCCACAUAACAACUCACGAGGCUAAAUAUACAACAAAAGAUUGCUUCUAGAAAUAACCCCAGAAGCCAGCACAACGUCACUGGCAGAAAUUUCCCGCGCCUUUUAACAGCUUUACCAGCCGCUUAAAACAGCUACUGGACACGUGUUACAAUCUCGUCAAAAACGCUGCCUCCAUCUGCCGUUUUGAGCAAGUAAUGCACGUGUUACAUCACGUGCCCAACCUAUUCAACUAGCUGACUGAGUAGCCUUGUCAUACAGCGUUCUAAUUCGAGAUAAUCGACAUGUCACCCAUCUCUGGACUAAAAAACCGACACGUCGUACACGACCACAAACCCAGAUUUGUAGUUUAGUUCAACACGUUGGCUUUUCUUUCUUAUUGGGAAGGCAUUGGCAGAUAAGUGAUUCUAAACACACCAGAGAAAAUUAAAAGAAUUGUAAAAGUGAGUGGAAAUGAGUGAAAAACUAACAAUCAAUAUCCAUGAUUUACAGAGAGACUCCGUAGGCUUGAACACUGACUUAAAACUAUGUUUCCCAGCAUGAACUCUUUGAUAAGUAAAAUAAGUGUAAAUUUCACUCAUUUUUCUUUUCUUUUCGACAUAUGAAAAAAGAAAAUAAAUAGAUGAAUAAAAGAGCGUUCUUACGUACAUGUAGUUUAGCAUCUUGAUUCAACUACUUGGAACUCUUAAAGAGGCACAACAACCUUUCGAAAGAAUUGUGUUACCUGCAUUUUCUUUUAUAUGCAGAAAGUUAUAUUUUUUAUGUCAAAAUUAGUCUCCCCCCCCCCCCAAAGGAGAAAGAUCAGUUGAUAAGGCCUUGACAUACCUCUCAAAUAGACGCAUGCAAUAAUUUGAACUCUCCUCUAUAGAGAACAGAUCGACAAAUGGAAUGUGUGCUAUUUUAUGCCAAUUUUCACCAAUUUUCUUCUUGCAUCGCUUUUAUAAUUCAGGAUAACCUCGGAGGUUCAAAAAUAGAUUGAUAAGAUUCUUGGUGCUUGCAGGAAGACAUCGGAAAGUAAUUUUAUUAAUUGAUGGUUUACAUAAAGAAACUGAAGAUUCAAAACAAGACUUCAAUUCUAAGUUAUUGAGUUGAACACCAUCAAAAGCAGAAUUGAUAUAACAACAUGACAACAUAAAUAGUGGUGUAGGAGAAGUAGUAGAGGAAGGAAUACUGUAAGAUAAGAAAGAAGAUGGUGAUGAUGAUGAUGGCGAAGAUUUGAGUAACAGCCUGUAUAAUCCUUUCUCAGCAAGACCUUGUAGAAGUACCUGCCUCUUUAGAGAAUACUUUACAUAGCAGAUGUUACCAACAAAUUCAACAUAUAAGUGAUUAUCAGAUGUAAGUUUAGAAAUGCUCAGCAAGUUCUUUGUAAUGGAAGGAACAAGUAGAAUAUCUUUAAGUGCUAUUUGUGGGUGAUGGUGUUUAGUAUUUGAACUUUUAAAAGUAAGGAAUGCAUCACCAAUGUGUGUUAUAGGCAAACCUUGGCCAUUUCCAAUGAUAAGUUGAUCAGAACCUCUCAAUUCUUCUCUAAUGUUCAUAUUAGCUACGUUAUUAGUCAAGUGAUGUGUUGCUCCACUAUCAAGGUACCACCCUUGAUCAGCUGGUCCUUCAAAAUUUGCAAUAUAAGCAACUCCAAAUAUAGAGAAUGUGUCAAGUAUAUAGUAUGGAUUCAUAUCAGAUGGCUGAUAUGAAGAUUAAUUCAUAGCAUGAGAGUUAGCAAUAUAAGGCCCAAAUUCAGUAAAUGGUUCAAAGUUGGUCAUAUAAGCAGCCUUAGAUCCUCUAACUCUACCAAAAGACCUUACUGGAGCUAUAUAAUUUUUAGUAUACCUAUGCCAACAUGCAUCCGCAGUGUGACUAGAUUUAUGGCAAAUUUGGCAAAUAAGAGCAUUGUCACUAGAUUCAUCAGUAAAUGAGUCAUGAGACAUAUUGAAGACAGAUUUGUUGUGUGAUGAUGCCUUGUGAAUUGGCAUUUGUGGUGAAUAUCCUCUAGCAAGGUUAUAACUACCAUUAUCAUUGGGAAAUCCUUUGGAAUACGCAUGAAAGAACAUUCCUCUUCCACCAUAGUGAUUCAUGUUUCCAACAUUAAAAUGUCCAUGAUAUCUACUACAUCCAUAACCUCUUCUUCUGCCACUAUCCCUUCCUAGUGAAUAGUUUGAAUUAACCAUUCCAUAAUUCGCAUUAAACACAUACUUAGCUAUCUGAUUAUGUUCCAAUCUAGCCUCAUGUGUUAAGAGCAAAGCAUAAGCAUCAUCAUAUGACAUUAUAUCAGCAGUGAUGAUAGAUGCAAGAUCUAAGUAACUAGUCCCAAUCCGUCUAACACUUGCAUCAACAAAUCUCUUUCUGAUAAAGGACUACCAACACAAGUAAGUUUAUCAGCAAGAAUUUUAACUUUCAAACAAUAUUCUUCAACAGUCAUGGAUUCUUUUCUAAGUACACUCAUUUUAUAUCGAAGCUGCAUAACCUUGGCCUCAGAUUGAGUACCAAAAUGUUUUUCAAUAGAUUUCCACACAUCAUAAGAUCUAUCACAAUUAAGUACGGAGCUCAAAAUACCUUCACUUAUAGUUGACAGAAACCAGCCAAGGAGAGUUUGAUCUUUAGCUUGCCAAUUAACAUAAGCUGGAUUAAUAAUUUUCUGCACCGAUCCAUCAUCUGCUGUGUGAUUAAUAGUUUGAUCUUCAUUUUGAGUGUAUCUUGAAUCAUCGUCUCGAACAAAGUCUUGAAUAAGAGAUCUCCAGUAUAAUUCAUUGAAUAUCUCAUUACCAAAAUCUUCAACUUCAAGAGUUCCCUUGGAUGAAAAAAACCAUUAGCCAUCCAAAGAUGAAUUAGACGCUCUUUCUUAAUUUUAGAAUGUUUAGGAAAUACAGCACAAAAAGCAAAACAUUGUUUCAAUUCCGCUGGUAAGUUGGAAUAGCUCAAUCGUAAGACAGGCAAAAUGGAAAUUUUCUCCUGGGGUAAGUUCCAUAGUUUACUGUCUUUUACAUGUAGCCACUCGUUUUAAUCGCUUUUAAAGCGCAUCAGGUUCCUAAAGUCUUUGCAGCUAGCGAGACACCAUUACACUUCCUCACUAUUUCCUUGGCGAUUGCUAAAAUGUCAUGUUUGCUUAUGCCUAAAGAUUAUGAUCAAUGGAUUUGUUGAUAUGAUCAUCAAAAUCAACUGAAUUUUAUUAGAAGUUGAAAACCAAAAUCAGCUGGAUUUUAUGACAAUCUAAUAAAACAUUCAAUUUCUAGUGGGAAUUUAUUAUAUGGAUGUUUAUUUUAUUGGUUUAUCAAAAGGGAGACUUCAAAUAAAGAGAAGAGAGGUUGAAUGUGAAAUUAAGAUGCACGGUUGGUGUAAUGACAAAAAUUUUAAUUUUUUUAUUCAAUAAUUUUAUCACCUGACCUUAAUUUUUAUUCGAAUUAAGGGUGUACAUUUUCAAACAUACAAAGCUUCACACUUAAAAUAUAUUGAUAUCAAAAAAUUUCAUUUUAAUUAUAUAUCUUGCUUCACGUUCUAUCUUUCAUUGUUGAAUCGUUUAUAUGAACAUACAUGGUUAAUAAUUAAUAUUAAUGGAGACAAAUAGGCAGCACAUUUUUUACUGAUUCCACAAAAUAGGCACCACUUUUUUUUUUGAUAUUAGUCACGAGGUAUUUUGGGGAGGGCCCCAACUGUGGGAGGCACCACUUUAUUUAUUGAUUUCACAUUACGGAAAUAAUAUUUAUUAAUGUGAGACACUGACACCAACUAGCAGAUGACAUUAUUGCAAAUUCCAUUAUUCCCAUGACAUAAUAUAUUCACAUAUAGGUAGAAUUCGAAGAUGAAACACAAUAGGUGUGUGAAUUUAUAACUAAAUUAAUUACUUGUUAAUAGAGAGUAGUCCAUCCAGCUUAUUGGCUGACUCUUGCACCUUGAAAUGAUAAAUUUGAAGGUUCUCAACAUCAAGCUUCUUCAAAUUGCUGUGCAAUCUAGAAGUAAAAUAUUUUCCCCAAUUGUAUGCUCUGUAUUUAGCAGGGUUUUGCUCAUUUAUAAGCUCAUCUAAUGGCUUCAUAAUUGUGUAAUGAGAUGGGUUGAAUAAAAUUGGAAUUGAAAGCCUUUCCUUCUCAGAAUUCACCACAACCCUAUGCUCCACAGUCUCAUAAGCAUCAUUGCUCCAUACCUGCACAAUUACAUAGAUUUUAUGGAGACCAAAAAAGCAUAUACAUAGAUUUAAUGAAACCGAUAUUGUAUAUGAAUAUAUUUUAUUGAGACCAAAAAAGCAUAUACUGAACACGAAAAUUUGAUUUUGAUACCAUAUUAAUAAUUAUUAAACGUUUGACCAAAAAGCUUAAACUAGCUAUUACCUGAAUACAAUCACCGAUAUUUAUGAUAUAAGAAUUCGGGAUGGGUUUGACGCGAGCCCAUUCUCCGUCUGAUUUUUUCUUUACCUCAAGACCUCCGACAUCAUCUUGGGCAAGGAUGGUAAGGGCACCGCUGUCCUUGUGUCGACCCAAGCCGAGAGUUAGGUGGGGAGCGGGGCACGGUGGGUAGUGAUUAAGUCUAGCAAAGGUGGUUUGAUCUUUGAAGAAGCCAUUGAACCUGUUUGCUGGUAGUCCCAGGCUCAGGGCUACGAGUUCUAUCAACUUGUAAGCAAGUUUUUCCACUUCUUUAGCAUAUUCUUCAAAUGCCUCUCUGUCAAGCAUAAGCCAAAAGUAAACAAAUAGAUACUAUAAUUGCAACAUUUUCAAUUUUGCAUUAAUCAGAAUAUGCUUGGCUCCAAAAUACUAUUACAAGCUUUCAAAUUGACCGACAACAAAUUAAAAUUAUUUGGUGGUAUUUAAUACGACUCAUCUGCUUAUGGCUGUUUAUUUUGUCAAUAAAUACCUCUUAUGGACUAUAUUGUGAGUUUGUGACUACCCUCCAACCAUGAGAAAAUUCGGGUUACCAAUUUAUAUUUCUCGCUCUCAAGAUUAUUAAUUUCGAUAGCACGAAAUUAAAAUGCCCAUUAGAUGCUUUAAAAAGUAAAAAAUCUCGCUCAAUUGACUUGUACAUUAUUAAAGGAUCAAAAUUCUCUUUUAAUCCGAGUUCUCCUCAAAUUAUAGUUAAGUACGAAAAUUUCACCAUCAAAAUGUAAGAAUUGAACUUUACCUUAAUUCAGGAGGAUAAUCAGGCCAUUGACUGUACGUUUCAGCAACUUCCUUGUCCUCAGGUUCAGGUGAAGCUGGCAUCAAACAAGGGCUCUCCACGACAAAAUCAAACACUUCUUUCCAAUCUCUAACAUUUUUGGUAUGCUCGGUGUCAUAAUACCCCACCAACUUCUUCUCAUCUCUCCUCACCUUUCUCUUCUCCUCCAACGGCUGCUCG
This 42997-nucleotide long non-coding RNA is filed under the name Citrus sinensis (sweet orange). Its description in RNAcentral is "long non-coding RNA (CSIN_LNC002347)". The record is from RNAcentral. Lineage: Eukaryota; Viridiplantae; Streptophyta; Magnoliopsida; Sapindales; Rutaceae.